This is a non-coding RNA of Nycticebus coucang (slow loris), 74 nucleotides long. The record is from the annotation of a RefSeq genome assembly. Lineage: Eukaryota; Metazoa; Chordata; Mammalia; Primates; Lorisidae.
GCUCCAGUGGCGCGAUCGGUUAGCGCGUGGUACUGAUAAUGCUGAGGUCGUGAGUUCAAGUCUCACCUGGAGCA